This 803-nucleotide ribosomal RNA is filed under the name uncultured organism. Its description in RNAcentral is "bacterial SSU rRNA". It matches the Rfam family "Bacterial small subunit ribosomal RNA", at positions 644 to 1434 of the family's 1533-position model. The record is from RNAcentral.
GAAUCCGGAAGGGGAAAGCGGAAUUCCUGGUGUAACGGUGAAAUGCGUAGAUGUCAGGAGGAACACCAGUGGCGAAGNCGGCUUUCUGGUCCGGAAUUGACGCUGAGGUACUAAAGCGUGGGUAGCAAACAGGAUUAGAUACCCUGGUAGUCCACGCCCUAAACGAUGGAUACUUGAUGUCGGGAUGUUCGGUCGUCUCGGUGUCGUAGCUAACGUGUUAAGUAUCCCGCCUGGGGACUACGGUCGCAAGACUGAAACUCAAAGGAAUUGACGGGGGCCCGCACCAGCGGUGGAACAUGUGGUUUAAUUCGAUGCAACGCGAAGAACCUUACCUGGGCUUGACAUAUAUAUGAAGUAUGUAAGAAAUUAUGUAUUCUGUCUGCUUUUGCAGGUAGCAUAUAUACAGGCGAUGCAUGGCUGUCGUCAGCUCGUGUCGUGAGAUGUAGGGUUAAGUCCCUUAACGAGCGCAACCCUUGCUUUUAGUUGCCAUCAGGUAAUGCUGGGGACUCUAGAAGGACUGCCGAGGUUAACUCGGAGGAAGGUGGGGAUGACGUCAAGUCAGUAUGUCCCUUAUGUCCAGGGCUACACACGUGUUACAAUGGACGGUACAGAGUGCAGCUACGCCGUGAGGCUACGCAAAUCACUUAAAGCCGUUCCCAGUUCGGAUUGGAGUCUGCAAUUCGACUCCAUGAAGUUGGAAUCGCUAGUAAUCGCAGAACAGCAUGCUGCGGUGAAUACGUUCCCGGGCCUUGUACACACCGCCCGUCACGCCAUGGAAGUUGGGAGUACCCAAAGUUGCUGUC